UAGAGGACUGAGAAACUAAUAGUGUAAUUGCAUAUGCCUUAUAUCCCUAGAAAACAAGGUUAAAAAUAGAACAAUCUGUACUGAAGUACUGAAGAAAAUGACUUACCAACAGCAAAACUUUCAGCAACCACUUGUAGGCUGAAAGAAAAAAAAAAAAAAAAAAAAGCUCUGCAUAUGCUAAUUACAACAGAAACUGAGAAUACUCGAGUAUUCCUGGAAUCAACAGUCAUGUCUGGGGUAAGAUAACAGAUGUUCCUUCAGCUGCACAGAAACCAUCUGAAACUUUGUUCUGAAACUUUCUUGCCAUACAUCAAAAUGAUUAUUCCAUAAUUACUGUCCCCUAACUGUUUUUAGAUUUAUUUUUUUUAAGAAGAAAAUCCUCACCAUGAAGCAAAGAAAUUUUAAACUGCUGCCUGCUUGCAGUUUGAGAAAUGCAACAGGAGGAUGAAGGCCUCUCUAGUACUACUUGAGAAGCAGCAUCUGGGACUGUCUGAAGUUCAGGCUUUCUGCAGUGAGCUCGGGCAAGUCAUAGACUGUACAGUGCGGAUAAUCCAGGACAGAGAUGCUGUGGAAGGCAGGAAAGAAGGGACUCGCUAAGAACCAGGAAAUGCUCAAUGUCUUUCUGUCUGAUGAACAGAGAA
This is a long non-coding RNA of Tyto alba (common barn owl), 641 nucleotides long. RefSeq lists it as uncharacterized. Lineage: Eukaryota; Metazoa; Chordata; Aves; Strigiformes; Tytonidae. The record is from RefSeq and is a predicted model, not a curated record. The transcript has 3 exons.